AUCCAGCUGAUGAGUCCCAUUUAGGACGAAAUGCGCGUCCUGGAU
This is a non-coding RNA of Schistosoma mansoni, 45 nucleotides long. The record is from Rfam. Lineage: Eukaryota; Metazoa; Platyhelminthes; Trematoda; Strigeidida; Schistosomatidae.